This 409-nucleotide ribosomal RNA is filed under the name uncultured rumen bacterium. RNAcentral describes it as "bacterial SSU rRNA". It matches the Rfam family "Bacterial small subunit ribosomal RNA", at positions 509 to 916 of the family's 1533-position model. The record is from RNAcentral.
CAGCAGCCGCGGUAAUACGUAGGUGGCAAGCGUUGUCCGGAAUUAUUGGGCGUAAAGCGCGCGCAGGUGGUUCUUUAAGUCUGGUGUGAAAGCCCCCGGCUCAACCGGGGAGGGUCAUUGGAAACUGGGGAACUUGAGUGCAGAAGAGGAUAGUGGAAUUCCAAGUGUAGCGGUGAAAUGCGUAGAGAUUUGGAGGAACACCAGUGGCGAAGGCGACUGUCUGGUCUGUAACUGACACUGAGGCGCGAAAGCGUGGGGAGCAAACAGGAUUAGAUACCCUGGUAGUCCACGCCGUAAACGAUGAGUGCUAAGUGUUGGGGGGUUUCCGCCCCUCAGUGUUGCAGCUAACGCAUCAAGCACUCCGCCUGGGGAGUACGGUCGCAAGACUGAAACUCAAAUAAAUUGACGG